This 414-nucleotide ribosomal RNA is filed under the name Tetraselmis astigmatica. RNAcentral describes it as "partial Bacterial large subunit ribosomal RNA". It matches the Rfam family "Bacterial large subunit ribosomal RNA", at positions 894 to 1306 of the family's 2925-position model. Lineage: Eukaryota; Viridiplantae; Chlorophyta; Chlorodendrophyceae; Chlorodendrales; Chlorodendraceae. The record is from RNAcentral.
UGUAGGGGGUAGAGCACUGUUUCGGCUAGGGGGUCAUCCCGACUUACCAAACCGAUGCAAACUCCGAAUACCUACAAGUGCCGAGCAUGGGAGACACACGGCGGGUGCUAACGUCCGUCGUGAAAAGGGAAACAACCCAGACCGUCAGCUAAGGUCCCAAAGUUAUGGUUAAGUGGGAAACGAUGUGGGAAGGCUUAGACAGCUAGGAGGUUGGCUUAGAAGCAGCCACCCUUUAAAGAAAGCGUAAUAGCUCACUAGUCGAGUCGGCCUGCGCGGAAGAUGUAACGGGGCUCAAACCAUACACCGAAGCUACGGGUAUCACGUAAGUGAUGCGGUAGAGGAGCGUUCUGUAAGCCUGUGAAGGUGAGUUGAGAAGCUUGCUGGAGGUAUCAGAAGUGCGAAUGCUGACAUGAG